GACGGCAAGGGGGAGAUGGAUGAGCACACGGCAUUGUUCUGGGAAGGAGCCUUCCACCUCCGAGUUCCCCAUAUCCCUUCCUCUCCCUCAGGACGACGGCAAGGUCAUGGCUCAGGAGCCCGGCGCCCAUUCAAGAAAAAGCCCUCAGCCUUGUCCCUCUCUCUGUCCCCAAGAGUGGCUGCUCAGGGUGUGCCUUUGGUUGAUUUCAAGUUUCAGGUCCCGGCGGUGACGGCCAGUGGCGGGCGGGGAGGGGGGGCGGAGAAGGGUGGCCGCGGUGGCCGGGGGCCCAGCCGGUCACCUUCUCUGUGGACGCCCAGGCGCCCAUGGUGGAGCCUGAGCUGACCGAGGUGGGCGAGCUGCACUCGCUCACGGACUGGCAGGUUUCCGAGGCUUCGGAGGAGGCCGAGCUGGACGAGUUCUGCCGGCAGGGAGGGACCACGAGCCACCAGAAGUAGCAGGAAACCAAAAGAGAAGAUGGGGCGGGGGGAGGGCACGCACAGAGAGAGAGAGAGAGAGACAGACAUAUACACAGAAGAGGGAAGGAUGAGAGAAGCAGAGGGUUAGGGUUAUUUUUUUCCCCCAAGACUGCACACACACACACAGGCUUCCAAGCCCUCGAAAAGAAGCCGGAGACGCGGCAAGGCCCAGAUCUGCCAGGCUGUCAGCCCCCCGCAGCCGGGAGCCCAAUUUGGGUGUGUCUAGUCUGUGCAGGGCGCGGGUCAGGGGCGGGAACUCCUGGUGUUCCCCCGGGCAUCUCUCCUCACGCCACAAGCCCAGGUCCCAGGGGGGGCCUGCCUCUGGCAUCUCCCAGGUGCACAGUCCCCUUUAUUAGCUGAGGACUGACACCCCAGCCCCCCUCCACACACACACCCCACCCCCCCCCGGUCGGGCUUUGGCUCCGUCUCCAACUCCCGGCCUUGCCCCUGGUCACAUGCAGCCUCUGCGCCCAUGAAGGGCGGUUUCCAGCCCCUCUGAAGCUGCAUCUUCGCAGGACAGGUUUUUAGGUUUCUCUGCCUGGGAAAUGAUUCUGAGGUUUGGGACAGUGAAGCCCUGAGCUCAGCGCAAUGUUUCCAGCGGCCAUUCAGGGAGGGAGGAAGCAUCUGGAGCGGGGCCAUUACAGAAAGGAGGUCUGACUUGGGACAACAUCCCUUCGUGCCGAUCUUUAUUGAACCUCCAGUCUGGGGGUCACCCCCCGCCCCGCCCCGCCGUCGGCCAGGGUCUGUGCUCCCAGGUCAGUCUCCUGACAUUCAGUUCAGGCAGGGACUGGGCCAGGGGGCUCACCGAUCCGUCUCAACUUUCUAGUCCUGUCCUGGCACGUGGCAGGUGCUUGGAAUUACUGAAUGGAUGCGUGACAAUGACCAUCUCUUCCGUAGAAACUGGGUCCCCUGGGAUAGUGCUUUGGGCACACCCAGGUAUUUGCUCUAAGUUUUGUUCACAGCUAACUGCAAUCUCUGGCUCGUCCUUUCGUUUAAAUAAGCCCAACCCUACUGGGGUCUACUAUUACUUCCCCCAAAGUGUUCCCACAUCCCCUGCCAAGGAGGCCGGACUCAUGUUUCUGUCCACUUCUUUCACUGCCAGAAAAAGAAAAGUUUCCGCCAACCAUCUCCAUCCGGGCUCUCCAUCCUGCAAGCAGCGAGGCUCCAAGAAGACACUCUGCCGCCUGGGGCCCCGUGGAACCACAGCAAGGACAGGCUCCCUGGCGGGUGUCCUGGCAGCCCCUCAAGCUCGGGGCUGGUGAACCGGUCCCGGAUCCGAAGUUUGAGGGGUUCGGAUCCAAGUAACGUUUCUGUCACUUCUCAGUGGGGGAACCUCGGGCUUAAUCUAAACCUCAAUUUCUUUCAUCUUUAGGGAUCAGUAAUAUUGAACGGAAGAAGACGAAAUGAGACUUUGUAUCUAAUGGAUGACGAUAAGGCGAAAGCGUAUGUGUACGUGUGCGUCUGUGUCCAGAGAAGCCAGUUAUCCCUGUAAUGUGCCAGGGCUGUUCAUUUUGGUCCCUCCAAUUCAAGUCUGUUCAACUUGAAAAAAAGCCCAUAAACCAGCGCAGGGCUGUGGGUUCCUAUUUCCUUUGACUUCUGUUCGUUUUUCCUAAAGAUCCUCUCACCUUGAUGGAAUGAAGAGCUCUAGGAUGAGACCCUCACCACAGACACAGCCCCACUCCUGGGCCUAAGGCACUAAGCGUUUCAGAAAAGGCGCCCGAGACUGGUACCUCUGUGCUGAAGGCGCUACCGCCUCCCCUCUCUCUUGGGAAACACAAAGGGAAAAAGGACUCUGCCAUAAUUAUGGAGUGACUGCGCCCCCCAGACAUGCUUAAUAAACGGCAAGUGAGACAGGAGCAGGAGACUACGGAAGGGAGUCAUCCGCUCCACUGAAGUGCCAAGCUGGGACUGCAGGCCUGGGCAAGACUGAGCCACGGACAAGUUCUAUGCUCAGAGGCUGACUCAUAUUUGGGCAUUUUGCUAGGGCUGAGGGAAAUGAGCUGGUGUCUUACCAGCUUCAAGAAUGCUGACAGCAGAAGUCCUCAAUUAUCGCAUGGAAAUGAUUUACUUAAAAAAUUAAGUCUGCACUGAUUCAUUGAGGAUCUUCCCAUAUUAAUUUCACGGUCACUCACUGGUGUUGAAGUCGGCCACCGAGUCUCAAAACCACCCGAAGGCCUUGUUUAAAACCCAGAUGACUGGGUCCCCACCCCAGAGGUUUGGAUUCAGGAGGGUCUGGGUUGGGCUCAAGAAGCUGCAUUUUUUUUUAAGAUUUUAUUUAUUUAUUUGACAGAGAGAGAUACAGCAAGAAAGGGACACA
Molecule: long non-coding RNA, 2793 nt
Organism: Leptonychotes weddellii (Weddell seal)
Lineage: Eukaryota; Metazoa; Chordata; Mammalia; Carnivora; Phocidae
Source: RefSeq, a predicted model, not a curated record